RNAcentral lists this ribosomal RNA (1330 nucleotides) under Escherichia coli. Its description in RNAcentral is "partial 23S ribosomal RNA". It matches the Rfam family "Bacterial large subunit ribosomal RNA", at positions 414 to 1746 of the family's 2925-position model. Lineage: Bacteria; Pseudomonadati; Pseudomonadota; Gammaproteobacteria; Enterobacterales; Enterobacteriaceae. The record is from RNAcentral.
AGGGCGGGACACGUGGUAUCCUGUCUGAAUAUGGGGGGACCAUCCUCCAAGGCUAAAUACUCCUGACUGACCGAUAGUGAACCAGUACCGUGAGGGAAAGGCGAAAAGAACCCCGGCGAGGGGAGUGAAAAAGAACCUGAAACCGUGUACGUACAAGCAGUGGGAGCACGCUUAGGCGUGUGACUGCGUACCUUUUGUAUAAUGGGUCAGCGACUUAUAUUCUGUAGCAAGGUUAACCGAAUAGGGGAGCCGAAGGGAAACCGAGUCUUAACUGGGCGUUAAGUUGCAGGGUAUAGACCCGAAACCCGGUGAUCUAGCCAUGGGCAGGUUGAAGGUUGGGUAACACUAACUGGAGGACCGAACCGACUAAUGUUGAAAAAUUAGCGGAUGACUUGUGGCUGGGGGUGAAAGGCCAAUCAAACCGGGAGAUAGCUGGUUCUCCCCGAAAGCUAUUUAGGUAGCGCCUCGUGAAUUCAUCUCCGGGGGUAGAGCACUGUUUCGGCAAGGGGGUCAUCCCGACUUACCAACCCGAUGCAAACUGCGAAUACCGGAGAAUGUUAUCACGGGAGACACACGGCGGGUGCUAACGUCCGUCGUGAAGAGGGAAACAACCCAGACCGCCAGCUAAGGUCCCAAAGUCAUGGUUAAGUGGGAAACGAUGUGGGAAGGCCCAGACAGCCAGGAUGUUGGCUUAGAAGCAGCCAUCAUUUAAAGAAAGCGUAAUAGCUCACUGGUCGAGUCGGCCUGCGCGGAAGAUGUAACGGGGCUAAACCAUGCACCGAAGCUGCGGCAGCGACGCUUAUGCGUUGUUGGGUAGGGGAGCGUUCUGUAAGCCUGCGAAGGUGUGCUGUGAGGCAUGCUGGAGGUAUCAGAAGUGCGAAUGCUGACAUAAGUAACGAUAAAGCGGGUGAAAAGCCCGCUCGCCGGAAGACCAAGGGUUCCUGUCCAACGUUAAUCGGGGCAGGGUGAGUCGACCCCUAAGGCGAGGCCGAAAGGCGUAGUCGAUGGGAAACAGGUUAAUAUUCCUGUACUUGGUGUUACUGCGAAGGGGGGACGGAGAAGGCUAUGUUGGCCGGGCGACGGUUGUCCCGGUUUAAGCGUGUAGGCUGGUUUUCCAGGCAAAUCCGGAAAAUCAAGGCUGAGGCGUGAUGACGAGGCACUACGGUGCUGAAGCAACAAAUGCCCUGCUUCCAGGAAAAGCCUCUAAGCAUCAGGUAACAUCAAAUCGUACCCCAAACCGACACAGGUGGUCAGGUAGAGAAUACCAAGGCGCUUGAGAGAACUCGGGUGAAGGAACUAGGCAAAAUGGUGCCGUAACUUCGGGAGAAGG